RNAcentral lists this ribosomal RNA (465 nucleotides) under uncultured bacterium. RNAcentral's name for it is "partial 16S ribosomal RNA". It matches the Rfam family "Bacterial small subunit ribosomal RNA", at positions 29 to 507 of the family's 1533-position model. The record is from RNAcentral.
AUGAACGCUGGCGGCGUGCUUAACACAUGCAAGUCGAACGAUGAAGCCCAGCUUUCUGGGCGGAUUAGUGGCGAACGGGUGAGUAACACGUGAGUAACCUGCCCUUGACUCUGGGAUAAGCCCGGGAAACUGGGUCUAAUACCGGAUAGGAGCGCCUGUCGCAUGACGGGUGCUGGAAAGAUCUUUCGGUCAUGGAUGGACUCGCGGCCUAUCAGCUUGUUGGUGAGGUAACGGCUCACCAAGGCGACGACGGGUAGCCGGCCUGAGAGGGUGACCGGCCACACUGGGACUGAGACACGGCCCAGACCCCUACGGGAGGCAGCAGUGGGGAAUAUUGCACAAUGGGCGAAAGCCUGAUGCAGCGACGCCGCGUGAGGGAUGACGGCCUUCGGGUUGUAAACCUCUUUCAGCAGGGAAGAAGCGAAAGUGACGGUACCUGCAGAAGAAGCACCGGCUAACUACGUG